AGACAAUUAGUCUUAACAAAAACACUUGAUUUCGGCUCAAGAACUCCUGGUUAGAGUCCAUGAUUGUCUA
This 70-nucleotide transfer RNA is filed under the name Pseudoscopelus astronesthidens. Its description in RNAcentral is "tRNA-Arg". It matches the Rfam family "tRNA". From Rfam's summary of the family: Transfer RNA (tRNA) molecules are approximately 80 nucleotides in length. Lineage: Eukaryota; Metazoa; Chordata; Actinopteri; Scombriformes; Chiasmodontidae. The record is from RNAcentral.